UACGAAGGGGGCUAGCGUUGCUCGGAAUCACUGGGCGUAAAGGGUGCGUAGGCGGGUCUUUAAGUCAGGGGGGAAAUCCGGGAGCUCAACUCCAGAACUGCCUUUGAUACUGAGGAUCUUGAGUUCGGGAGAGGUGAGUGGAACUGCGAGUGUAGAGGUGAAAUUCGUAGAUAUUGGGAAGAACACCGGUGGCGAAGGCGACAGUCUGGCUCUAUACUGACACUGAGGCGCGAAGGCGUGGGGAGCAAACAGG
Molecule: ribosomal RNA, 253 nt
Filed under: uncultured bacterium
Lineage: Bacteria
Description: partial 16S ribosomal RNA
Rfam family: Bacterial small subunit ribosomal RNA
Source: RNAcentral